GACAGAGGUGCCGAGCGUUAGGCGGAAUCACUGGGCUUAAAGCGUGUGUAGGCGGACUUCUAAGUACCCUUGUGAAAUCCCACGGCUCAACCGUGGAACGGCCCCGGGUACGGGCGGCCUCGAGGGGGGUAGGGGCGUGCGGAACUGUGGGUGGAGCGGUGAAAUGCGUUGAUAUCCGAAGGAACACCGGUGGCGAAGCGGCUCACUGGGUCUUUCUGACGCUGAUGCACGGAAAGCUAGGGGAGCAAACGGG
RNAcentral lists this ribosomal RNA (253 nucleotides) under uncultured bacterium. RNAcentral describes it as "partial 16S ribosomal RNA". It matches the Rfam family "Bacterial small subunit ribosomal RNA", at positions 524 to 776 of the family's 1533-position model. The record is from RNAcentral.